This is a long non-coding RNA of Oncorhynchus keta (chum salmon), 1059 nucleotides long. RefSeq lists it as uncharacterized. The record is from RefSeq and is a predicted model, not a curated record. Lineage: Eukaryota; Metazoa; Chordata; Actinopteri; Salmoniformes; Salmonidae. The transcript is spliced from 4 exons.
AUGUAUUACGGUACUGACCGAGGCGAUGGUGUUGAUGUAUUACAGUACUGACCGAGGCGAUGGUGUUGAUGUAUUACAGUACUGACCGAGGCGAUGGUGUUGAUGUAUUACAGUACUGACCGAGGCGAUGGUGUUGAUGUAUUACGGUACCGACCGAGGCUAUGGUGUUGAUGUAUUACAGUACUGACCGAGGCGAUGGUGUUGAUGUAUUACAGUACUGACCGAGGCGAUGGUGUUGAUGUAUUACAGUACUGACCGAGGCUAUGGUGUUGAUGUAUUACGGUACUGACCGAGGCGAUGGUGUUGAUGUAUUACAGUACUGACCGAGGCGAUGGUGUUGAUGUAUUACAGUACUGACCGAGGCGAUGGUGUUGAUGUAUUACGGUACUGACCGAGGUGAUGAUGUUGAUGUAUUACAGUACUGACCGAGGCGAUGGUGUUGAUGUAUUACGGUACUGACCGAGGCGAUGGUGUUGAUGUAUUACGGUACUGACCGAGGUGAUGGUGUUGAUGUAUUACGGUACUGACCGAGGCGAUGGUGUUGAUGUAUUACAGUACUGACCGAGGCGAUGGUGUUGAUGUAUUACAGUACUGACCGAGGCGAUGGUGUUGAUGUAUUACAGUACUGACCGAGGCGAUGGUGUUGAUGUAUUACGGUACUGACCGAGGCGAUGGUGUUGAUGUAUUACAGUACUAACCGAGGUGAUGGUGUUGAUGUAUUACGGUACUGACCAAGGCGAUGGUGUUGAUGUAUUACAGUACUAACCGAGGUGAUGGUGUUGAUGUAUUACGGUACUGACCGAGGCGAUGGUGUUGAUGUAUUACAGUACUGACCGAGGCGAUGGUGUUGAUGUAUUACAGUACUGACCGAGGCGAUGGUGUUGAUGUAUUACAGUACUGACCGAGGCGAUGGUGUUGAUGUAUUACAGUACUGACCGAGGCGAUGGUGUUGAUGUAUUACGGUACUGACCGAGGCGAUGGUGUUGAUGUAUUACAGUACUGACCGAGGCGAUGGUGUUGAUGUAUUACGGUACAGACCGAGGCGAUGGUGUUGAUGUA